RNAcentral lists this ribosomal RNA (1439 nucleotides) under uncultured bacterium. RNAcentral's name for it is "bacterial SSU rRNA". It matches the Rfam family "Bacterial small subunit ribosomal RNA". The record is from RNAcentral.
AGAGUUUGAUCAUGGCUCAGAACGUACGCUGGCGGCACGCCUAACACAUGCAAGUCGAACGAAGUAGCAAUACUUAGUGGCAGACGGGUGAGUAACAUGUAGGUAUCUGCCCUUUGGCCUGGAAUAACACGAGGAAACUUGUGCUAAUACCGGAUAAGUCUUUACGGAGAAAGCUUUAUGCACCAUUGGAUGAGCCUGCACUUGAUUAGUUUGUUGGUGGGGUAACGGCCUACCAAGACUGUGAUCAAUAGCUGAUUUGAGAGGAUGAUCAGCCACAUUGGGACUGAGACACGGCCCAAACUCCUACGGGAGGCAGCAGUGGGGAAUCUUGCACAAUGGAGGAAACUCUGAUGCAGCGAUGCCGCGUGAGUGAAGAAGGCCCUUGGGUUGUAAAGCUCUUUCGUCGGGGAAGAAAAUGACUGUACCCGAAUAAGAAGGUCCGGCUAACUUCGUGCCAGCAGCCGCGGUAAUACGAAGGGACCUAGCGUAGUUCGGAAUUACUGGGCUUAAAGAGUUCGUAGGUGGUUGAAAAAGUUAGUGGUGAAAUCCCAGAGCUUAACUCUGGAACUGCCAUUAAAACUUUUCAGCUAGAGUAUGAUAGAGGAAAGCAGAAUUUCUAGUGUAGAGGUGAAAUUCGUAGAUAUUAGAAAGAAUACCGAUUGCGAAGGCAGCUUUCUGGAUCAUUACUGACACUGAGGAACGAAAGCAUGGGUAGCGAAGAGGAUUAGAUACCCUCGUAGUCCAUGCCGUAAACGAUGUGUGUUAGACGUUGGAAAUUUAUUUUCAGUGUCGCAGGGAAACCGAUAAACACACCGCCUGGGGAGUACGACCGCAAGGUUAAAACUCAAAUGAAUUGACGGGGACCCGCACAAGUAGUGGAGCAUGUGGUUUAAUUCGAAGAUACGCGCAGAACCUUACCAACACUUGACAUGUUCGUCGCGACUCUAAGAGAUUAGAGUUUUCGGUUCGGCCGGACGAAACACAGGUGCUGCAUGGCUGUCGUCAGCUCGUGUCGUGAGAUGUUGGGUUAAGUCCCGCAACGAGCGCAACCCUCACUUUUAGUUGCCAUCAUUAAGUUGGGCACUCUGAAAGAACUGCCAGUGAUAAGCUGGAGGAAGGUGGGGAUGACGUCAAGUCCUCAUGGCCCUUACGUGUUGGGCUACACACGUGCUACAAUGGUAUCUACAACAGGAAGCAAGACUGCGAAGUUAAGCAAAUCCCUAAAAGAUACCUCAGUUCGGAUUGCACUCUGCAACUCGAGUGCAUGAAGCUGGAAUUACUAGUAAUCGUGGAUCAGCGUGCCACGGUGAAUGCGUUCCCGGGUCUUGUACACACCGCCCGUCACACCAUGGGAGUUGGUUCUACCUUAAGGCAAGGUUUCAAACCCUUGACCACGGUAUAGUCAGCGACUGGGGUGAAGUCGUAACAAGGUAACCGUA